This 34-nucleotide ribosomal RNA is filed under the name Paxillus involutus. RNAcentral's name for it is "partial 28S ribosomal RNA". Lineage: Eukaryota; Fungi; Basidiomycota; Agaricomycetes; Boletales; Paxillaceae. The record is from RNAcentral.
CUUGACCUCAAAUCACGUAGGACUACCCGCUGAA